Molecule: long non-coding RNA, 211 nt
Organism: Ruditapes philippinarum (Manila clam)
Lineage: Eukaryota; Metazoa; Mollusca; Bivalvia; Venerida; Veneridae
Exons: 3
Source: RefSeq, a predicted model, not a curated record
UUUCUGUAGUCCGUAUAUUUGCAGGUUGUGUAGUUUGGGAUCAGAUUUAUCAGACAUAUUGCUUGCAGGACAUUGACGGCAGAAACUUGAAAUUUAGUGUGGAGUGCUACCUUAAGGUUGUGUAGUUUGGGAUCAGAUUUAUUAGACAUAUUGCUUGUAGGACAUUGACGGCAGAAACUUGAAAUUUAGUGUGGAGUGCUACCAUAUGCCC